GUGGGGAAUAUUGGACAAUGGGGGGAACCCUGAUCCAGCCAUGCCGCGUGUGUGAAGAAGGCCUUUUGGUUGUAAAGCACUUUAAGCGAGGAGGAGGCUACCGAGAUUAAUACUCUUGGAUAGUGGACGUUACUCGCAGAAUAAGCACCGGCUAACUCUGUGCCAGCAGCCGCGGUAAUACAGAGGGUGCAAGCGUUAAUCGGAUUUACUGGGCGUAAAGCGCGCGUAGGUGGCCAAUUAAGUCAAAUGUGAAAUCCCCGAGCUUAGCUUGGGAAUUGCAUUCGAUACUGGUUGGCUAGAGUAUGGGAGAGGAUGGUAGAAUUCCAGGUGUAGCGGUGAAAUGCGUAGAGAUCUGGAGGAAUACCGAUGGCGAAGGCAGCCAUCUGGCCUAAUACUGACACUGAGGUGCGAAAGCAUGGGGAGCAAACAGGAUUAGAUACCCGAGUAGUCC
RNAcentral lists this ribosomal RNA (451 nucleotides) under uncultured bacterium. RNAcentral's name for it is "partial 16S ribosomal RNA". It matches the Rfam family "Bacterial small subunit ribosomal RNA", at positions 354 to 796 of the family's 1533-position model. The record is from RNAcentral.